GGGUCAGUAGCAUAGUUGGAGAAUGCAUCAGCUUGCGAAGCUGAAGACCGCAGGUUCGAGUCCUGCCUGGCUCA
Molecule: transfer RNA, 74 nt
Filed under: Deltaproteobacteria bacterium
Lineage: Bacteria; Pseudomonadati; Myxococcota; Myxococcia
Also listed under: 1 other name
Description: tRNA-Arg
Rfam family: tRNA
About the family: Transfer RNA (tRNA) molecules are approximately 80 nucleotides in length.
Source: RNAcentral